CGGUAAAAGUGAUCAUAUUAUUGCUAGAGAAAGUGGAGUCUUUAUAGGCUUUACAGCAACAACUUGAAUGAAAAAUAAGAACUAAAAAUCUGUUGAAUAUGCAGAUAUUUUAUUCACCACUAACAAAACCAAAAAAAUGAAUAAUCCUGAAAGUUAGAAACAAGGAAACAUGAUACCUUUUUUUGACACAUUGCAAACUAAUUUUGAAUCACUCUUUACUCCUAUCGCUCCCCCUUAUUCAAAAUUGGAUAUAUCAAAAAUUGUGCAGCUUGAGCUGGGACAAAGACUUGGUAAACAGGUCUCCAACUUGUUCAUUUGUACUGCAAAACGCCAAGGAAAUUGUUCCACUUGCUGCCAAUUUUCGAAUGAAAUGAUGCCGGAGCUCAAUAUGCUUUGUUCUCCAUUAAAGGCUGGAUUCUUUGUCAUUGCAAUUGUAGCUUUGUUAUCACAAAAGAUUUUUGUUGCUGCAUAUUGCUCUUGGCUUAAAUCAACUAAAAUUCUUCUCAACCACAUAGGUUGACAUGCUGAUGAAGUUGCAGUAAUAUACUCUGCUUCUGAAGUUGAAAGUGCAAUGGUAUUUUUGCUUCUUUGAACUCCAUGAGAUUGCACCUGAACCAAGACUGAAACUAUAGCCUGUGGUACUUCUUCUAUCAUCCAAUGAACCUGCCCAAUCACUAUCAGUAAACCCAAAUACUGAUACUUUAGAGGACCAAAUUCCACAAUCAGCAGUCCCGGAGAUAUAUCACAAGAUCCUCUUAGCUAUUCUAAGAUGUUGUUUUGUUGGGCUAUGCAUGAACCUGGACAUAAUACUAACAGGAAAUGCAAUGUCAGGACGUGUAAGUGUCAAAUAAUUUAAUCCACCAAUCAACUUCCGAAAAUAUGUUGCAUUAGCCAUUUCUAUCCCAUCUUCAGAUUGCAAUUUCUCAUUCAAAUUCAUUGGUGUUGAUGCUUUGUUGCAAUUCAGCAUGUUGAACCUCUUGAGCAUAUCAAUUGCAUACUUGUGUUGGGAAACAAAAAUUCCAUCUACACCCUGUUUCACCUCAAGCCCAAGAAAAUAUUGCACCAAACCUAAAUCUGUCAUCUCAAAUCUCUUCAUCAUAGAAGACUUAAAAUUAGCAACAAGAAACUCACGUGACCCAAAAUAAAUAAUAUCAUCAACAUAAAGACAUACACUAGAAAAUCAGCUUUCCCUUGCUUCUUUACAUACAAAGUGGGUUCAUUUUCACUUCUUUCAAAUCCAUUUUCAAGAAAGUAGGUGUCAAUUUUGCUAUACCAUGCUCGUGGAGCCUUUUUAAGUCUGUAAAGAGCUUUUUUUAACCUGAAAACUUUAUCCUAAUGGCCAUUUACAACAUAACCUUCUAGUUGAAAAACAUAAACUUCGUCUUCCAAAUCUCCAUUCCAAAUGACAAAUUUUACAUCAAAUUGAAAAACAGGCAAAAAUAAUUGAGUAGCUAAGGCAAGCAAAACUCUUACUAUUUCAAAGCAAGCAACAAGAGAGAAUGUUUCUUCAAACUCAAUGCCUUGUUGUUAAGCAUACCCCUUUGGCAUAAAUCUAGCCUUAUGUUUAUGUAUAUUUCCAUCUGCAUGGUACUUUGUUCUGAACGCCCACUUAAGCCCAAUUGCAUUCUUCCUUUCAGGCAAGUCCACCAAUUCCCAAGUCUGAUUUUUCUGAAUUGCAGCCAUCUCUUCUUUCAUAGUAGUGCACCAUUCUUUCAUUUUUGAUGCUUCCUCAUAGAGUAUUAGAUUUGAAACAUACAAAGCAAAAGAACAAGAUGCAUAAAUGUCUCUCAAGGACUUAAAUUUCCUUGGGGAGUUUCAUUGGAUGAGGAGGUACUAGAGCUGAUGGGACUUGAAAAACUACUACCCCAAGGAGAGGAAUUUUCUGAAUGUGAAGGCAAUGGAUCAGAAACAUCUUCUAAAGCUGGAAUUUGAUCACUGUUUUGAGAGCUUCCCUAAUCCCAUUUUGCAUCUUCAUCGAACACCAUAUUUUUGCUAAUAAUAAUCUUGCCACUUAAAGGGUUAUACAGCCUAUAUGCUUUAGAUUGAGGACAAUAGCCAACAAAGAUACAUUUUUCAGAUUCUUCAUCCAGUUUGUGAGAAUAUUGAGAGCUUACUAAAGCAUAGGCUACAUAACCAAAAAAUUUUUAAGUGGCUAAUAUGAGGUCUCGUACCUUUCUAAUCUUGAUAUGGAGUCUUAUUCAAAACUGCCUUUGUAAGAGAGAUAUUCAACAAAUACACUGUUGUUGCAAUUGCUUCAGCCCAAAAAGAAUUAGGAAGACAUUUAGCCUUUAGUAAGCUUCUAGCCAUUUCCAAUACUGUUCAGUUCUUUCAUUCAACGACACCAUUCUGCUUUGGUGUAUGUGGUGCAAUAAGCUCCCUAUGAAUGCCACAUUCUUCACAAAAAAAUCAUUAAAUUCAAUGGAAAUAAACUCAUCACCUCUGUCAGUUUGAAGACACUUGAUACUAUUGCCUGUUUGAUUCUCCACAAGUGCCUUAAAUUUCUUGAAAUUAGCAAGAGCUUCUGAUUUAGAUCUCAAAAAAUAAACCCAAUUCAUGCAGCUAUAAUCAUCAAUAAGCAACAAAAAAUAUAAACUUCCACUUCAUGGGCCAACAUAAAUCAGCAUGCAAAAAUUCAAGACAAUUAUUAGGCCUCCUUGAUUUUCCUAUGGGAAAGGAUUUUCUACUUUGUUUUCCCAAAACACACCCUUCACAAAAUUCAAAAGAGUAAUUUUAGGUAGUCCAAUCACCAUUUCUUUUUAACUCAACAACCUUAAUCAUAUUUUCAUUCAAAUGCCCAUAAUGCAAAUGCUAUAAUUUAGACUCGCUGUUUCCCUAACAACAAAGGCAGAACUAUUAAACUAAGAGACUUCAAGUGGGAACAUUUUGUUUUGUGCCAUUUUAACAUUAAAUAUGGUGUGGCCUGAAUUUUUUUCUGGAAUGGUGCAUGAAUUAUUAUUAAACAAAAUUAUAUACCCAGUAGCUAUCAAUUGCCCAACACUUAACAAGUUAUGAGCUAAAGCAAGAACAAAUUAUACAUCAUGAAGAAGCUUAGUGUUACCAUAGUCUGUUUUGAUGGCAAUUGUACCUUUCUCUUCAACUUGUAUUUGCAUAUCAUCACCCUGCCGCACCUCUGAUUUAUGCAUCUCAUCAAGCUCUUUAAAAAAUUAUUUUGCACCUGACAUAUGAUUAGAGCAACUGCUAUCCAAAAACCAAACAACAUCUAUAAUAUUUUUAUCAUAAGAAUGAGCCAUAAACAACAUACUCUCUUCAUCUGCAAAGUUUGCUUGAUUCCCUUCCUUUCUUUACUUGGUCCAACAAUCAGCUUCUUUAUGCCCCAAUUUCCCACAGUAAUAGCAAUCAAUUGAACUCUUGGCAUGAGUCCUUUCAUUUCUUUGCUUGAUCUAGCAAUCAGCUUCUUUAUGACCUAAUUUCCCAUAGUAAUUGCACUUGAUUGAACUCUCAUUAUUCUUGGACUAACCUUGUUCGCUAGAUUGUCUGCUUUGUCCCUUUCCAUCACGACCUUAGCCAUGAUAUCCACCACAAAAUCCACCUCUGCUUGGUGCUUUGUCAUCUGAUUUUGUGGUUUGAGAGGAUCCUCCUUUCACUUGAAAUGCCCUUUUUUCAUUUUCUUUACUUCUAAUCUAUUCAACCUGUCCUCAUGAGCUUGCAAAGAACCCAUCAAUUCAUCAAAUGAAAAAACUGACAUAUCUUUGGACUCCUCAAUUGCAGCUACAACGUGAUCAAACUUAGGAGUAAGACUCCUUAAAGCUUUUGAAACAACAGUUUGAUCAGAUAUUUGGUCUCCAUAUGACCUCAUUUGACUAAUAAUUGCCAUCACUCUAGACAAAAAAAUCUUGCACUGAUUCAUUGCCCUUCAUAAGUAAAGUUUCAAACUCAUGCCAUAGAGUUUGGAGUUUCACGGCUAUUACCUUUGAUGAGCCAUGAAACUCAAUUUGCAAAAUUGUCUACACCUGCUUGGAAGCGGUAGCUGCUGCGAUUCUUGAGAAAACAGUCUCAUGAACUGCUUGUUGAAUGAAGAUCAGUGCCUUGGAGUCCUUCCUUCGAUUUUCCCUCAAGCGAUUCUCUUUAUCUGGAUCAGCAAACCCAUUCUCUACUAAGUCCCAUAGGUCUUGAAAAUUAAAUAGAGUCUUCAUUUUGAUGCUCCAAAACUGAUAACUCUCUCCUUUGAAAAUGGGGAUGGCAGGUUGUGCAAUAUUUAGUGAAUUCCCAUUUGAAGCCAUGGAGCCUUCUCAAGACUUUUGUCAAACACUUGGUGAGCAACACUACCAGGCUCAUCUUCAUCAUCAUGUAAAGAAAGAUCAAGAUUCCCCGAAUGAUUUAACGAAACAGAAACUUCAACUUGUCCUUGUUAUCUAGCCAAGCGAGCAAAGGGAAAACUGGCCAAUGAAUCUGAGAUGGGUUUGCAGGAAAUUCGUGGAGAUGUAGAGGUAAAAAUCUGUAUCGGUGAAAGAAAGUGUGGGAAAAGGGGUUUAAUGGUGUUACCUAAGAAAGGCAACUAUGUUUAGGAGGUCUCUUCUGAAAGUGCUGUAAUGUAGUGUGAGACGGUUAAACAUAGAAUUGUCCUUUUUUCUUCUUCCUCUUUUUCUUCUUCACAUACUGC
Molecule: unclassified non-coding RNA, 4621 nt
Filed under: Hevea brasiliensis (rubber tree)
Lineage: Eukaryota; Viridiplantae; Streptophyta; Magnoliopsida; Malpighiales; Euphorbiaceae
Source: RNAcentral